CCGUGUACCCGUAGAUUGACAAAAAGACCCUAUGCAGCUUUACUAUAACUUUACUCUGAAUUAAUAAAUUAU
RNAcentral lists this transfer RNA (72 nucleotides) under Candidozyma auris. Its description in RNAcentral is "[Candida] auris tRNA-Arg". The record is from RNAcentral. Lineage: Eukaryota; Fungi; Ascomycota; Pichiomycetes; Serinales; Metschnikowiaceae.